This 537-nucleotide ribosomal RNA is filed under the name Holacanthus tricolor (rock beauty). RNAcentral's name for it is "partial 16S ribosomal RNA". It matches the Rfam family "Bacterial large subunit ribosomal RNA", at positions 1833 to 2571 of the family's 2925-position model. The record is from RNAcentral. Lineage: Eukaryota; Metazoa; Chordata; Actinopteri; Pomacanthidae.
CAAAAUUAACAAAUAAGAGGUCCCGCCUGCCCUGUGACUAUAUGUUUAACGGCCGCGGUAUUUUGACCGUGCAAAGGUAGCGCAAUCACUUGUCUUUUAAAUGGAGACCCGUAUGAAUGGCACAACGAGGGCUUAACUGUCUCUUCUUUCAAGUCAAUGAAAUUGAUCUCCCCGUGCAGAAGCGGGGAUACGCACAUAAGACGAGAAGACCCUGUGGAGCUUUAGGCACCAAGGCAGACUAUGUUAAGUACCCCAGACUAAUGACUAAAACAACUUAUAACCUGCCCUAAUGCCUUCGGUUGGGGCGACCGCGGGGAAAUAAAAAACCCCCAUGUGGAAUGGGAACACCUCCUAAAACUAAGAGCCCCCGCUCUAAUAAACAGAACUUCUGACUAAUAAGAUCCGGCAAUACCGAUCAACGGACCAAGUUACCCCAGGGAUAACAGCGCAAUCCCCUUUUAGAGCCCAUAUCGACAAGGGGGUUUACGACCUCGAUGUUGGAUCAGGACAUCCUAAUGGUGCAGCCGCUAUUAAGGG